RNAcentral lists this microRNA precursor (106 nucleotides) under Marmota monax (woodchuck). The record is from RNAcentral. Lineage: Eukaryota; Metazoa; Chordata; Mammalia; Rodentia; Sciuridae.
AUAUGAAUCACCUUAGGAUUUUUAUUAAAAUGCAGAUUCUGAUACAGCAGAUCUGAGAUGGAGCCUGAGAAACUGCAUCUCUAACAAGUUCCAAGGUGAUAUCAAU